UUAAAAAACUAUUGGGAAAUGGGGAAGAGGAAGGUUUCUAAUUUCUUUUUCUUUUUCUUUUUUUUUUUGGUACUGGGUAUUGAACUUGAGUCCUUGUGCUUGUGAGACAGGCGGUAGAACCACUGAGCUAAAUCCCUGGCUAUCUAAUUUCUUAUUAGGAGUUUGAUGAACAAGGCUCUGUGUAUAUGCAUGUGUAUGGAUGCAAAUAUGUAUAGACACACAAUUGAUGUAUUUCACAAACCUCUUGAAUGUAGUUCUUUAUUUCCAUAUUUUCCAAAGUUGUUUUGACUGUGACAGUGAGAUGCAGCCGACCUUGCCAUCCAGUACAAACAUGCCAUCUAACAUUAUGAAACUGACAAUAUUCCACUCUUGACUUUAUGUAAUGGUAAUUUCGCAUGGUAAAACCUAUAUAUAAUGCAAACAAACAAUACUUAGCCUUCCUCUUUGUGAUACCCAUUAAUUUAUGCUUUGCUGGUUGUAUACUAAAUUUAUACCACUACCAGCACCACUGAUAAGUCACAACCAGCUGCUUUAUUUAAUCUUAACAGUUUUUGAGGCAGAUUCAUGACUCCCAUCCCCAUGUACACACCAGAUGUCACCGGAUAUUUAGCCCUGGGAUUUGGUGACUGACCUCAGGUAGCUCCUAUUAACUAUUCAAUGACCACUGUGUGCUUCGUCUUACCUCACUAAAUCUGCAUUCAGGACAUUGUGAUGUGGGUACCAAACUGGCAAAUGUGAAAUUCCUGACAUUAAAUCAGUGGUUUCCCGGCACAAGAUUAGCAAGGGACAGACUCCAGAUCUGAGCAAUUUUCUGAUGGCCAAGUCCGAGCUGUUUUCACUGCUUUGGAGCGGAGAUCCAGACGCAGAUCCAACCCAGACUUUGCAACGCACCAGUUCUUGCCUUUAAAAAAAAUUUUUUUUCAGUAAUGAGGCUUGAACCCAGGGCCUUUGCACAUCCUCAGUCCUUUUUAUUUUUAUUUUGGGACAGGACCGCAGUAAAUUGCUCUAUUGCCCACGCUGGGCUCCAGCUUGUGAUCCCCCUGCCUCAGCCUCCCAGAGUGCUGGGAUCACAGGAGGGCGCCACCACCUUGGAACGUAGGGAAGGGCGCGUGCGCGCAAGUACUUGCUGCCUGCCCUCGUGCUUCAACUUUCAGUCCCCGCUACGCUUUCUAGGCCUUCUCAUUGGCUGCGGGGUGUACUUUUUCCUCGGGACCAACCCCUCUUCCAGCCCAGGUUGCAGCUGGAAGUCUUCACUGGUCUCCCUGUCUUCCCUGCCCCCAUCAGGGACGGGAAGACGACGGUUCCCCGCCCGCCCUUUCCAGAUGCAUGACUGCCAAAGACCCCCAGUGCAGAGGAUGAUGAAUGAGAGGGGCCAAGUUGUGCGUCCGGUUCUGCGCCUUUAAGAGGCAUCAGCUCCUCCCCUUUCGGAAUCGCGGUCUGACGCGGGAUGACAGCCCAGCGUUCGGUAUGUCUAUGUAAAUGAGCUCCCUCCAUGGACCAAUGGGGAGCGGAGGUGCCGGAACCACGGACCAAUGGUAUGGGGGCGCUGGGGCUCACCAUAUAAGGAGCGGCCUCUCCAUAAAAGGAAACAUUGUAUCUCUUUAUAUGGGGGGAAGGGUCGGGGGAUCCCUCCGCCGCCAGCGCGUGGUCCCGGCCCCCUCCACCC
Molecule: long non-coding RNA, 1666 nt
Filed under: Fukomys damarensis (Damara mole-rat)
Lineage: Eukaryota; Metazoa; Chordata; Mammalia; Rodentia; Bathyergidae
Description: lncRNA (ENSFDAG00000030660.1)
Source: RNAcentral